GGAGUCUGGGCCGUGUCUCAGUCCCAAUGUAGCCGUUCAUCCUCUCAGACCGGCUACCGAUCGUCGCCUCGGUGGGCCGUUACCCCGCCGACAAGCUAAUCAGACGCAUCCCCAUCCCACAGCGAUAAAUCUUUCCUCCUCAUUAGAUGCCCGCAAAGGAGAACAUAGGGCAUUAAUCCGACUUUCGCCGGGCUAUUCCCUACUGAGGGCCAGGUUGGAUACGCGUUACUCACCCGUGCGCCGGUCGCCAUCAGAGUCAGCAAGCUGACUCCAUGCUGCCCCUCGACUUGCAUGUGUUAAGCCUGUAGCUAGCGUUCAUC
RNAcentral lists this ribosomal RNA (320 nucleotides) under uncultured Prevotella sp. RNAcentral's name for it is "partial 16S ribosomal RNA". The record is from RNAcentral. Lineage: Bacteria; Pseudomonadati; Bacteroidota; Bacteroidia; Bacteroidales; Prevotellaceae.